UACACACACUGUGAAUCAUCGAAUCUUUGAACGCACAUUGCACUGUCCGGAAUCCCGGACAGUAUAUCUGUUUGAGUAUCGUUUCUUUAUCAGUCCUGACAUAUACGCAAGUACUUGUACGGAUUGGAGUUGAGGUAUUAUAUAAUCAUUUAUAUAUGCCUUUAAAUUUAUUAUACGUCCAACUAGAUCAGUCCGCGAGGAACUCUAGUUGCAUCGUACCUUAAAUAAGACUUUUUAGUCUUGAAUUACGAUCUCAAAUCAGAUAAGAUUACCCGCUGAACUUAAGCAUAUCAAUAAGCGGAGG
RNAcentral lists this ribosomal RNA (304 nucleotides) under uncultured Dothideomycetes. Its description in RNAcentral is "eukaryotic LSU rRNA". The stretch from base 1 to 81 matches the Rfam family "5.8S ribosomal RNA", at positions 73 to 154 of the family's 154-position model. The record is from RNAcentral. Lineage: Eukaryota; Fungi; Ascomycota; Dothideomycetes.